This 1084-nucleotide long non-coding RNA is filed under the name Equus caballus (horse). RNAcentral's name for it is "lncRNA (ENSECAG00000035614.3)". The record is from RNAcentral. Lineage: Eukaryota; Metazoa; Chordata; Mammalia; Perissodactyla; Equidae.
UGACAACCCCCCAUCCAGAGGAGAGUGAAAUUGCUCUCUACGAUUUGGACAGGUCAUGAAAAGCUAUCUCUAGAAAUUUUUGAAACCUUAUAUUUCAUUUCAAAAAUGAGUGCGAUUUUGCAUUUCUACCGCAAAAUAUAUCUCAGCCACAUACCGUUGGACCUAAUGUGACCAGCUGGCCCCAGGUGUGUCCAGACACACAACUUUGGACAUAUUAGGAGAAAUGAUCAGACUUCAGAAGGCCAAACCCAGCCCCUCCUGCUCUUGUGGCCGUGUCUCUUCCAGGUUUCUUGCCCUCUGUUUUUCUGGAACCCUGAGGGAUUUUACACAUGUUCCCUAAUGCUCCAUUCUCACAAGCCCGGGGUCCUCUCACCCCCUCUCACCCCUAAGUUUGUCCCUAAGUUCACUGAGUCAACAGCCUCGCAUGGGGGCAGGGUCCAGACAGCACCUCUUUCUCUUCCUGCAUUUCUUCAGGAGCCAGAAAGGGAUGGGGGUGUCUCUCCUAAAUUGUAUCAAUGUCUGGCAGCUCCGUAAGCCCUGUGUUCUGUCAUCUCAGGUCACUCUGCUGGCCUUGGGCCCCUCUCUGUCCUGCUGACCAUUCUGGUCUGGGCCCUGGGGAAAGGGCUUUCCUUUGUUGUGUCACAGAAGAGCUCCCAGCAGAGCGCAGCUUUCGCGUCUCUCCUGCAUAUCUCGGCCCUCUGCUUCCAGCAGGCAGGCUCUCCCGGACUCAGGGACUCCAUGGUCCUCCACAGCCUGGCUGUCGUCAGGGUCUCCGCUCUUUAGUGGCCGUUCAGAAAGUGUCACUCUGAACAUAAAGACAAAGCUAGUCUUCAGGAGUGGAAGUGAGGGGCAGCUGAUAAGUCUCAGCUCUGACCCAGCCAAGACACCUUAGUGGGUGAAAGAGUCAAGAGCAUUGCUGGCUGGAGACAAGAGAUGGCGCUGUGAGCCCAACGGAAAGAGAAGGCGGUGAGAGACCGUGCGCCACCUCCCAGCUGAUUAAAGGCCACCAAAAUGCACUUCCUGGGAUUUUUCUGAUUUGUUUUCUCAUGGCCUUUGGGGCUUCCUCAAACUCAAAAUAAUUGCC